RNAcentral lists this ribosomal RNA (440 nucleotides) under uncultured bacterium. Its description in RNAcentral is "partial 16S ribosomal RNA". It matches the Rfam family "Bacterial small subunit ribosomal RNA", at positions 338 to 795 of the family's 1533-position model. The record is from RNAcentral.
CCUACGGGCGGCAGCAGUGGGGGAUAUUGCACAAUGGGGGAAACCCUGAUGCAGCGACGCCGCGUGUGGGAAGACGGUCCUCUGGAUUGUAAACCACUGUCCCCAGGGACGAAAUUGACGUUACUGGGGGAGGAAGCUCCGGCUAACUACGGGCAGGCAACCGCGGUAUUAGGUAGGGAGCGAGGGUUGUCCGGAAUUACUGGUGGAAAGGGGAGCGUGGGCGGGAAUGAAGGCUGGGUGUAAAAUCUAACGGCUAAACCGGUAGCCGAAUUGGAAACUGCAGAUCUGGAGUGAAGUAGAGGCAGGCGGAAUUCCUAGUGUAGCGGUGAAAUGCGUAGAGAUUAGGAGGAACACCAGUGGCGAAGGCGGCCUGCUGGACUUUUACUGACGCUGAGGCUCGAAAGUGUGGGGAGCAAACAGGAUUAGAUACCCCUGUAGUC